This 306-nucleotide small nuclear RNA is filed under the name Peromyscus maniculatus bairdii (prairie deer mouse). RNAcentral's name for it is "7SK RNA (ENSPEMG00000026648.1)". It matches the Rfam family "7SK RNA". Rfam says of the family: 7SK was discovered as an abundant small nuclear RNA in the mid-70s but a possible function has only recently been suggested. Two independent studies have found that 7SK RNA binds the CDK9/cyclin T complex (known as elongation factor P-TEFb). P-TEFb activates transcription by phosphorylating the C-terminal domain of RNA polymerase II. Lineage: Eukaryota; Metazoa; Chordata; Mammalia; Rodentia; Cricetidae. The record is from Rfam by way of RNAcentral.
GAAUGUGAGGGUGAUCCUGCUGUAACAUCUGUUACCCCAUUAAUUGCCAGGGUUGAUUAGGCUGAUCUGUCUGGCUAGGUGGGUGUUCCCUUCCUCCCUUGCCACUCCACAUACAUCCCUCCUGAAGCUGUGCUCUUAGUUGAAGAGAACGACCUUCCCCAAAUAGAAGAGGACCAGCCUUUGGUCAACAGUAUACAAGUAGCUGUGCUCCCAUUAGAACCUUCAAACAAGCUCUCAAGAAGCUUGAUUAAAGAACUAAGAAAUAUUUUAAUUUCAAAGACUAUGAAGUAUUGUCUCUUUUGGAAU